AAUUACAGAGCAUAUCGCUACCCUAAGGGAAGUUUUAAGAACCUGAGCUUGAGUUGUGAAGAAUUUAUUUCUGGUUGCAAUUAAAUAAACACAUGUUGCUGAGGAGUGUAGGAGCCACUCCUCCAUUUGAUGCAUUUUUCAGGCAGCACCUUUUCACUCUUAAGAAUAAGCUGCUUCUGGUGGUGGUCAGCUGGUGACAUUUCCCUGAACUGUGCACUUCAGAGGAGUCCUGUCACUUCAUCUCUGCCGAAAAUGAAACCUGCCUCCGGACUCUCUCGUGAUUUCACUUGUUUAAAUAAUAGAAGCAUGCGUCUGCAGGAAGACCAAGAGCAGGAUUUGGAAGUCCCUGCCUUCCUUGGCCACCUAGCAGCCACAAUGGCUCUCCACCACUUCCUAUACUAUAUAAAGCAGAUCAGCAAUGGAGGGGGAGUUUGGAUUCCGGGAGUCUUCAUAUUUUUCAUCAUAUAUACACAGGCCCAAGCCCGGACAGCGCCGUCACUCCAGCACACACUUGGGAUGACCGAGGCUGCGAACGAUCGGAUCCUUAAGUGCCGCUGCCUCCCAAGUGCUGGGAUUAAAGGCGUGCACCAUCCCCACCGGCCAGAAAACUGCCUUUAAGUGAGCAUAACUGUUAUGAAAUCGAGCAUACACUUGCUGACUCACACAGUGAAGAGAUGGGUGUUGCCAUUGUCACAUAAUGGUGUUUAUGUCAUGCUCUACUCUGAGCCCACUCUGCAAAUGUGUCUUCUACAGGGGUCCGGUGUUCCCAACUGUAGCCAUGUUCCUUUCUUGUUUUCUUGCCUACACAACAACCUUUCUCCCAGCUGUCUCCAAUGCUGACCUAGGGUAAUGUUGCCACAUGGGCUUGGCUCAGGGGGAGGUACAGCAGAGGACCACACACAGUGCACAGGCACACAGAUACUAUACAGCGUAUUUUGGGUGGAAAUAAGGCACUUAGAGUCCUCCAAAAGCUAAUUGUUUUCUGUGAUGAACUGGUCACUCAGAUCAAAGAAGACUGGCCAGUCUGGCUCUUGGAUAGUUCACUGUCAAACUGCUUGUCCAAAGGGAAG
This 1070-nucleotide long non-coding RNA is filed under the name Cricetulus griseus (Chinese hamster). Its description in RNAcentral is "lncRNA (ENSCGRG00015032931.1)". The record is from RNAcentral. Lineage: Eukaryota; Metazoa; Chordata; Mammalia; Rodentia; Cricetidae.